Brassica rapa (field mustard) is the source of this 146-nucleotide non-coding RNA. Lineage: Eukaryota; Viridiplantae; Streptophyta; Magnoliopsida; Brassicales; Brassicaceae. The record is from Rfam.
UGUCCGAUGCCACGUCGACGAUAGCUAUUCAUGGCUGUGAUCGUCGAUGCUACAUUGGACAUAAACAGAUGUUUGUGUUUCGCUUUUCUGAUAGGAACCUGUUGAUCGAUCUUAUGAUCUACGGGGCCAUUUCGGCGGUUACAUUU